CCUACGGGGGGCAGCAGUGGGGAAUAUUGGAUAAUGGGCGAAAGCCUGAUCCAGCCAUGCCGCGUGUGUGAAGAAGGCCUUCGGGUUGUAAAGCACUUUCAGUGGGGAAGAAAGCCUUGGGGCUAAUACCCUCGAGGAAGGACAUCACCCACAGAAGAAGCACCGGCUAACUCCGUGCCAGCAGCCGCGGUAAUACGGAGGGUGCGAGCGUUAAUCGGAAUUACUGGGCGUAAAGCGCGCGUAGGCGGUCUGAUAAGCCGGUUGUGAAAGCCCCGGGCUCAACCUGGGAACGGCAUCCGGAACUGUCAGGCUAGAGUGCAGGAGAGGAAGGUAGAAUUCCCGGUGUAGCGGUGAAAUGCGUAGAGAUCGGGAGGAAUACCAGUGGCGAAGGCGGCCUUCUGGACUGACACUGACGCUGAGGUGCGAAAGCGUGGGUAGCAAACAGGAUUAGAUACCCGAGUAGUC
Molecule: ribosomal RNA, 465 nt
Filed under: Vreelandella stevensii
Lineage: Bacteria; Pseudomonadati; Pseudomonadota; Gammaproteobacteria; Oceanospirillales; Halomonadaceae
Description: partial 16S ribosomal RNA
Rfam family: Bacterial small subunit ribosomal RNA
Source: RNAcentral